Molecule: long non-coding RNA, 623 nt
Filed under: Callithrix jacchus (white-tufted-ear marmoset)
Lineage: Eukaryota; Metazoa; Chordata; Mammalia; Primates; Cebidae
Description: lncRNA (ENSCJAG00000084056.1)
Source: RNAcentral
GUGUGGUUUUGUGUGUGCAUGUGUGUGUUGUAUGUGGUGUGUUGUGUGUAAGUGUGUAUGUCACACAUAUAUUAAAAUCUUAGCCUGGUGCUGUUUGUGAUUACCCAGCCCCAGUACUUCAUGGAAGCAGCCCACAUGGACGAAGGGGCCCUUCCAGUGCUGCAGUCUUGAGCUAAGAGUUCACGUAUUCCGAGACAAUGUGCUUGGGACGUGGGACUUCUUCCCCCGCACUCCUCCUGUCCUCCGCCUCCUCUGUGAGCUGCGGUCUCCCCGCACGCCUGACGCAGGGCUGGUUUUGCUCUGCACCUGCACAGACCGGAGAUGCCCUUGGCGACGUCGUCUGCUCCUCCGGUGCUUCCAAACGCGACGAGGUUUCAUCAUGUUGCCCAGGCUGGUCUGGAACUCCUGAGCUCAAGCAAUCCACCUGCCUUGGUCUCCCAAAGUGUUGGGGCUACAGGCGUGAGCGACUGCGCCCAACCCUCUUCCAUCAUUUUCAGGGAAGGAUCAGGGGUCAGCUGUUCGCGUCUAGGUAUGAACGAGCUUAUCACUGGAUCACCUGUCUCGGGAGGAAGACUUGCCCUGGGGAUGUAGGAACAAGGACUAACCUGCUCAGUGCCUCCUAG